GACAGAGGAUGCAAGCGUUAUCCGGAAUGAUUGGGCGUAAAGCGUCUGUAGGUGGCUUUUCAAGUCCGCCGUCAAAUCCCAGGGCUCAACCCUGGACAGGCGGUGGAAACUACCAAGCUGGAGUACGGUAGGGGCAGAGGGAAUUUCCGGUGGAGCGGUGAAAUGCAUUGAGAUCGGAAGGAACGCCCGUGGCGAAAGCGAGGUCCUGGACGUCUACUGACGCUGAGACGCGAAAGCUAGGGGAGCAAACGGG
Molecule: ribosomal RNA, 253 nt
Filed under: uncultured bacterium
Lineage: Bacteria
Description: partial 16S ribosomal RNA
Rfam family: Bacterial small subunit ribosomal RNA
Source: RNAcentral